RNAcentral lists this long non-coding RNA (7677 nucleotides) under Populus trichocarpa (black cottonwood). RNAcentral's name for it is "long non-coding RNA (PTRI_LNC002193)". The record is from RNAcentral. Lineage: Eukaryota; Viridiplantae; Streptophyta; Magnoliopsida; Malpighiales; Salicaceae.
UGAGUUCAACCAACUCAGUGAGGGAAUAAUAAUUAAUAUACAUUUUAGAUAUUCUUGAUAUUAAUAGUUCGCAAGAUCCUUUAUCUUGAUAUACAUAUACAUAUACAUACUGAACAUAUCAUAUACAUAUCAUAUACAUACUAAACAUAUCAUCAUAACGUAGUGGACUAUAUGUCAGAGAUCAGAUGACACCCGAAGGUGACCAGAUGACACCCGAAGGUGACCAGACCAGAUGACACCCGAAGGUGACCACUGUGGGAUGAUCAGUCGCCACAGGCUGAUGCCUCUCUCACCAGCUAGGUUUACAGAAUACUAUGUGCACAUAGGCUAACUACUCUCCGUUAGCAUGGAGUUACUGACAAGUCCCAUAUCAAGGCAUAAUAGAUAUUCACAUAAUCAUCAAAGAAACGUAUAUCAUAUCAAAUAGAAUUUACUUUGACAGAUUGCGAGUGCAAAUUCAAGAAUAAAUGAGUACUCGGAAAAUAAGCAACAUAUAUAAUUAUUCAAGAAAUUAACGAGUUGUACUCAUUAUAAAAUCAACAUACAUAUUUACUUAUCAUAUAUGCAUAUUAAAGAUUAUCCCACUCACCCGGAAAAUAUAGAACUAAAAGGAAUGUCAGACGAAAGACCCGAAAAUCAUAUUGAGGAUCGUUAGGAGAACCUACAACAAUAUGAAAAUAUACUCAAAAGCAACUCAAACAAGAGAUCCCAAUGCAUAAAAUAAAACCAGGUUUAGUCUCCUAAGUUUAUGGACUAAAACGAUAAUUUUCCAAAACAGGGACCAAAACGUAAUUUUACCAAAAUUGGACCAAUCUGGAAAAUACAUAACUAUACUGAAUUUUCACCCAUAAACCAUCCUUAAUUCUGUCUAGAACGAACCAGGGACCGAACUGUAAUUUUCAUAAAGUUCAGGGACUAAAAUGUAAAUUCCUAAAAUUGAGGGACCAAACUGAAAAUAUUCCAAAUCAAUUAUCAAACUCAGAUUCAUCAUCCUUAACCUCAUAAUAACACUGUCCAGAAUCUCAAAAUACAAUUAGGGGUCAAAUUAUAAUUUUCCCAAAGUUUAGGGACUAAACUGUAAUUUCACAAAUUGAGGGACCAAAUUGAAUUUUCGUCAUCUUCAACCUCAAACCCAGAAUUUUACAGAUUAGCUACUGUCAUCUCCUGAUUUCUAACACAAUUUCACCAUUCAAAUAAAAUCAUAACUCAAAAUCAUCAUCUUUACCUUCAAUCUCUCACAAUCAACUAAUUAACCAAUUACCCACAACAAUCAACCCAUAACCUUCCAAUUAAUUCAUCAAUCAAACUCAAAACACAAUAUUCAAAACCCUAACAUUUAUCAAAACAGAAAUCAAGGCUUAAAGAACACACAUUUAUACAUAAUCUUACCUUUAAACUUAUUUCCUCCAAUUCUCUUCUCCUUUCCUUAUUUUUCCCUCUUUUCUCUUCUUCCUCCCCUUUUCUUCUCUUCUCCCGUCAGUUUUCACUCUUAAAACACAGCCCUCUUCUUCUAUUUUCUUUUCUAUUUAUAUUUAUCAACUCUUUGUUCAAUUACUACAAUACCCCUUAUUCAUUUAUACUCAUUUUUAGCCUUCAAGGGCUUUAUUGCCUUUUACCCACUCAUUAAAUUUCAAAACAUCACAAUCUCCCCACCUUAUAAAAGUUUCGUCCUCGAAACUUAAACUUUAAGAAAUGAAGUCUUACCAUCAAGUUCAAACAAGAAUGGAUACUUGUUGAGCAUUUCCUCCUCAAGCUCCCACGUCGCUUCUUCACGUGGGUGUCCGCUCCACACAACCUUAACCGAUGCGAUAUCCUUCGACCGAAGUUUUCUAACUUGUCGAUCCACUAUUUUUAUUGGUUGAACUUCGUAUGUCAUAACUUUCCUCAGCUCAACCGGUUGUACUUCCAGCACAUGAGAUGGAUCAGACAAAUACUUCCUCAACAUCGAAACAUGGAACACUGGAUGUAUAGAGGAGAGAUUAGGUGGUAAGGCAAGCCGAUAUGUCACUACCCCUACUCUUUCCAAGAUCUCAAAGGGCCCUAUAAACCUAGGACUCAACUUUUCUUUCUUCCCAAAUCUGAAUAUCCCUUUAGUCGGAGAGACUUUUAGGAAUACGUUGUCACCCACUGAAAAUUCUAGAUUACAUCUUCUCUUAUCCGCAUAAUUCUUUUGCCUACUCUGAGCUGUUUGAAGCUUAUCUCGGAUCACCUUAAUCUUAUCCGAAGUAAUCUGUAUUAACUCGGGACCCAUUAAUCUCCUCUCACCAACCUCAUACCAACAUACAGGUGAUCUACACUUCCGGCCAUACAAGGCCUCAUAUGGGGCCAUAUCAAUGCUCGCUUGAUAACUAUUAUUAUAUGCAAACUCCACCAAAGAUAAGUACUUGCUCCAUCCGACACCAAAGUCAAUCACACAAGCUCUUAACAUAUCCUCCAAAAUUUGUAUAGUCCUCUCAGAUUGUCCAUCUGUCUGAGGAUGAAAGGCAGUACUUAACUGAAUGUUAGUCCCCAAAGCUUCCUGAAACUUCACCCAAAACCGAGAAGUGAAUUGUGGACCUCUGUUGGACACAAUUGAGAUCGGCACACCAUGCAACCUUACGAUCUCGUUAACAUAGAUUUCUGCAAGUUUUGCAAACCCAUAUGUCACCUUUACUGGCAAGAAAUGAGCUGACUUGGUCAAACGAUCAACUAUUACCCAAACCGAAUCAUAACCCUCCUGGCUCCGAGGCAAACCUGACACAAAGUCCAUGGUGAUCCUCUCCCAUUUCCAUUCAGGAAUUAACAAUGGCUGCAAAAGCCCUGGUGGUUUCUGAUGCUCACCUUUAACCCUCUGACAGGUCAAGCAUCGAGAUACAAAUUCAGCAAUGUCCCUCUUCAUGCCAUUCCACCAAUAGCACUCUUUCAAGUCUCUAUACAUCUUGUUAGAACCAGGAUGUAUAGUAUAGGCAGUUUGGUGUGCUUCCGUCAUCACAUCUCUUUUCAAAUCAUCCACCUCAGGCACACAUAACCUGGAACCAAAUCUCAACACACCAUCUUCAUGGAUAACAAAACCCGGAGCUCUCCCUAACUCCAACUCAUCUCGAAUCUUGCAAAGUCGCUCAUCCUUCAUUUGAGCUACUUUAAUCCGGUCUACCAAGUCUGACUUGGCCUGAAAGUGAGCCAACAAUGCUCCCGAUUCACAAAUCUCAAAACUGACUCUCUCAUCUAACAAUCCGUGUAACUCUUUAAUCAAGGGUCUCCUCACCUCCUAAAUAUGAGCCAAACUACCCAUAGAUUUUCUGCUUAAGGCAUCGACAACAACAUUUACCUUGCCCGGGUGAUAUUGAAUCGUGCAAUCAUAAUCACUUAACAAUUCCAUCCACCUUCUCUGUCUCAAAUUCAGAUCCUUCUGCUGGAAGAUAUAUUGAAGACUCUUAUGAUCUGAAAAUAUCUCACAUGUCUCCCCAUACAAAUAGUGUCUCCAAAUCUUAAGGGCAAACACUACUGCAGCCAUCUCCAAAUCAUGUGUGGGGUAAUUUUGCUCGUGCUUCUUCAACUUUCUCGAGGCAGGAGCAAUCACAUUACCAUUCUGCAUCAAAACACAACCCAAACCAAUCCUGGAUGCAUCACAGUACACGGUAAAACCACCAGACCCUGAAGGUACUGUCAAAAUUGGAGCCGUAAUUAACCUUUCCUUCAACUCCAGGAAACUCUUCUCACAUUCUUUUGACCAUUGAAACUUGACACUUUUCUGUGUCAACUUCGUCAACGGAGCAGAGAUUCGGGAAAAAUUCUCCACGAAUCUCCUGUAGUAUCCUGCUAAACCCAGGAAACUCCUAAUCUCAGAUACCGUGACUGGUCUAGGCCACUGUUUAACUGCCUCCACUUUCUGUGGAUCAACCUCUAUCCCAUUUUUGGACACCACAUGUCCCAAAAACCCAACACUCUCUAACCAAAACUCACUCUUCGAGAACUUUCCAUACAACUGAUGAUCUCUUAGAGUUUGAAGCACCAAUCUCAAAUGCUCUUCAUGUUCCUCUUUACUUCUUGAAUACACCAAGAUGUCAUCAAUGAACACAAUAACAAACUUAUCAAUAAACAGCCUAAAAACCCUGUUCAUCAUGUCCAUAAAAGCCACAGGUGCAUUCGUUAACCCAAAAGACAACACUAGGAACUCGUAAUGCCCAUAACGAGUCCUAAAGGCAGUUUUAGGAAUAUCCUCAUUCCUAAUCCUCAACUGGUGAUACCCCGAUCGCAAAUCAAUCUUUGAGAAACAUUGAGCUCCUUGUAAUUGAUCAAAAAGAUCAUCAAUGCGAGGGAGUGGGUAUCUAUUUUUAACAGUGACCUUGUUCAAUUGUCUAUAGUUUAUACACAUCCUCAUUGAUCCAUCCUUCUUCUUUACAAAUAAAACAGGUGCUCCCCACGGAGACACACUUGGACGAAUAAACCCUUUAUCUAACAAAUCUUGAAUCUGCUCCUUCAACUCUUUUAAUUCUGCUGGCGCCAUCCUGUAAGGUGCCAUAGAGAUUGUUUUGUUCCUGAAACUAGAUCAAUACAGAAUUCGAUUUCCCUAUUGGAAGGUAGUCCAGGUAAGUCAUCGGGAAAAACAUCGAUGAAUUCUUUAAGUAUCGAAACUUGUUCCAUCCUCGGGACCCCCAUGUUCAUAUCAUGCACAUAAGCCAAAAACCCUUGCAUACCCUUUCGUACCAUCCUUCUCGUGAUGGCCGAGAGAAUACUAGAUGGAGAUGAUAACCCAUCUCCAUGAAAAGCAAACUCCGUCUCCUCAUCAGGCUUGAAAAUCACUGUCUUAUUCCAACAAUCAACUGAGGCAUGGUGCCUUGAUAACCAAUCCAUACCUAAUAUCACAUCAAAACCUACUAUUUCUAAAAUUACCAAAUCGCCUAAUAGGUUUCUACCUUGCACUUGAACCUCACAAUCAACAUAAACAUAUUCCCCAAACAUAACCUCAUCCGAAGGGAUAGCUACACACAAAGGACUCUCUAACAAAAUGGGUUGUUUAGUAAACCUUAAAGCAAAAUAUGACGACACGAAAGAAUGAGUUGCCCCCGUGUCAAAUAACACUCUAGCCUCGAAGGAACAUAUUAAGAGUGUACCUGAGACAACAAUAUUGGAUGUCUGGGCAUCUUGCUGAGUAAUGGCAAAAACUCGUGCCUGUCCCUGACUUGCUGGCGCAAAACCUCUACCGCCUACUCCACGGCCCCGCUGGCCGCGCCCACCAGCUCCACGACCACCCUGAAACACAGAAUGGCUAGCUGAUUGAGUCUGAGUAGGAGAUGUAAUCGGUGAAGCACCAGGUUUGGACCACCACUUGUUCGGACAAUCCCUCAAUAAGUGAUCAGUCUGCCCGCAACCGAAACAAGCUCCUGUCUGCCUAUAACAGACUGUGCCAUAAUGCCUAGACCCACAAGACGGACAUUGAGGCCUCCCAUCUGAACCUUGUGGUGUUAACUGAACAGUACCUCGGCUCUGAGUCGGACCAGCUCCACUCAUACUAUGUCUAUUGUUUCCCCUGAGAAUAGACCUCGACAAGAAAUUCCUUGACUGAUUUAAUUGGCCCUGCCGGCCCCCAUGUCCCCUGCUAGGACCUGUAUCAGACCGCUGCUGAAAAGAGAACUGAUUUGCCACUUUGGGCCUCUUAACCGAACCCACUGAUAAUUCAUCCUCUAACUCUCGUGCCUCAAUAGCUCGGGCACGAUCCACUAUGGCCGAGUACGUCUUAAACUCAUGAGCCCCAAUAGCUUUGAAUAAGUAGCUAUUAAGACCUCGAACAAACCUCUUAAUCUUCCUCUCCUCAGUCGGUACCAAAUACCCAGCAAAUCUGGACAACCGUGUGAAUUCCACUUCAUACUCUGUCACACUCAAGUCACCCUGAACCAACUUUUCAAACUCAUAUGAUCUGGCUUCCCUCACACUUUCAGGUAGAAAACGUUCCAAAAACAUCUCAGAAAAUUCCUUCCACUCCAUCGGUGGCGAACUAACUGCCCUUUCACCCCUCUUGGACUCAUACCAGUUCACAGCCACCUCUCCUUCUAGCCUGAAAGAUGCUAAAGUCACUGCACGAUGAUCCGUGCAACCCAUGGCCUCACACCUACGCCAUACUGCAUCUAAAAACUGUUGUGGUUCCUCAGAGUUAUCAACACCCUUAAAUGUAGGAGGUGCCAGCUUAAGGAACUCUGACAAUGGCACUUUCACCCCAUGCACAGUAUGGGAAGUUGAAGAUGCAUUCUUAUCCUUCUCCUUCUCUCUCUCAGUUAAAAGGUCAGCCAGGGUCUGCAUGGCUUGUCCAAUCUUAUCCAAAGCACUAUCAGUAUAAGACACCCUAUCAUGGGAUUCCUGCUCCUGAUUCUUACCAACAUCCAGACCAUAGUCUCCCUCAAACUCCACCUCAUCCUGAACUUCUGCUUCCAUUGGUUGAGGCGAAAGGGUUCUAACCCUCUUUUUGCGCCACUCCUUCCUAAGCUGAGCGAUAGGAAUGUCCUCUUGAUCAUUACCGACAUAAUCGGCAUUAACUACAUGUUUAGCUCUCGGCAUAUUUCCUAAAAAAAAUGCAUUUAUAUAUAUGUAUCAACAUAAAAGGAGUUUUAAGGAGGACACACCAAACACUAGAUUGGAGAAUUAUAAGAGGACUGACAUCAAGACAAGAUAGAUCUUAAGCUCCACAUAUUACGAGGGUUUUAAAUAAAUAAAACAGAUUAUGAGGUUUUAAUAAAAAACCUGGCUCUGAUACCACCUUUGUCACGACCCGAAUCCCGGGUCCAUGACCGGCAACGCAGGAGCGGUGCCGGAAGGACACCCCGCCCGCGCUAAGCCUCAAAACGGACAUAUCAAAAGAAUAAUUUAUUCAAAAAUACGCAGCAUUUCAUAAUCUUCAGAAAUCUUAUAUUAUUCAAAACUGAUGAAACCAAAAGAUAGUUUAAAACUCCUCAUCAGUAAUUAAAACAAAAACAAUAAUCCAUAAUACUCAUUACAUUGUCAAAAUCCAAACUUAAUCAAAACAAGGUAAUAGUGGAGCGCCUAAGACAUCGAAUCAAACAGCCUUGAAAGAUAAGCAAGGCAUACUGACCCAAAACUGAAGAAGCAGGAACACUCAACAAGGUUCACCUGCUAUCAGAAACUAAGAACCUGAAAUAAUAUUAAGAAUGAGGUGUGAGUUCAACCAACUCAGUGAGGGAAUAAUAAUUAAUAUACAUUUUAGAUAUUCUUGAUAUUAAUAGUUCGCAAGAUCCUUUAUCUUGAUAUACAUAUACAUAUACAUACUGAACAUAUCAUAUACAUAUCAUAUACAUACUAAACAUAUCAUCAUAACGUAGUGGACUAUAUGUCAGAGAUCAGAUGACACCCGAAGGUGACCAGAUGACACCCGAAGGUGACCAGACCAGAUGACACCCGAAGGUGACCACUGUGGGAUGAUCAGUCGCCACAGGCUGAUGCCUCUCUCACCAGCUAGGUUUACAGAAUACUAUGUGCACAUAGGCUAACUACUCUCCGUUAGCAUGGAGUUACUGACAAGUCCCAUAUCAAGGCAUAAUAGAUAUUCACAUAAUCAUCAAAGAAACGUAUAUCAUAUCAAAUAGAAUUUACUUUGACAGAUUGCGAGUGCAAAUUCAAGAAUAAAUGAGUACUCGGAAAAUAAGCAACAUAUAUAAUUAUUCAAGAAAUUAACGAGUUGUACUCAUU